Molecule: ribosomal RNA, 726 nt
Filed under: uncultured bacterium
Lineage: Bacteria
Description: bacterial SSU rRNA
Rfam family: Bacterial small subunit ribosomal RNA
Source: RNAcentral
UAACACGUGGGUAACCUGCCCAUCAGAGGGGGAUNACAUUCGGAAACGGAUGCUAAAACCGCAUAGGUCUUCGAACCGCAUGGUUUGAAGAGGAAAAGAGGCGCAAGCUUCUGCUGAUGGAUGGACCCGCGGUGCAUUAGCUAGUUGGUGAGGUAACGGCUCACCAAGGCCGUGAUGCAUAGCCGACCUGAGAGGGUGAUCGGCCACAUUGGGACUGAGACACGGCCCAAACUCCUACGGGAGGCAGCAGUAGGGAAUCUUCCGCAAUGGACGCAAGUCUGACGGAGCAACGCCGCGUGAGUGAAGAAGGUUUUCGGAUCGUAAAACUCUGUUGUUAGAGAAGAACAAGUGCUAGAGUAACUGUUAGCGCCUUGACGGUAUCUAACCAGAAAGCCACGGCUAACUACGUGCCAGCAGCCGCGGUAAUACGUAGGUGGCAAGCGUUGUCCGGAUUUAUUGGGCGUAAAGCGAGCGCAGGCGGUUCCUUAAGUCUGAUGUGAAAGCCCCCGGCUCAACCGGGGAGGGUCAUUGGAAACUGGGGAACUUGAGUGCAGAAGAGGAGAGUGGAAUUCCAUGUGUAGCGGUGAAAUGCGUAGAUAUAUGGAGGAACACCAGUGGCGAAGGCGACUCUCUGGUCUGUAACUGACGCUGAGGCUCGAAAGCGUGGGUAGCAAACAGGAUUAGAUACCCUGGUAGUCCACGCCGUAAACGAUGAGUGCUAAGUGU